Molecule: ribosomal RNA, 2909 nt
Filed under: Providencia rettgeri
Lineage: Bacteria; Pseudomonadati; Pseudomonadota; Gammaproteobacteria; Enterobacterales; Morganellaceae
Description: 23S ribosomal RNA
Rfam family: Bacterial large subunit ribosomal RNA
Source: RNAcentral
GGUUAAGCGACUAAGCGUACACGGUGGAUGCCUAGGCAAUCAGAGGCGAUGAAGGACGUGCUAAUCUGCGAUAAGCGUCGGUAAGGUGAUAUGAACCGUUACAACCGACGAUUUCCGAAUGGGGAAACCCAGUGCAAUUCGUUGCACUAUCGUUUGAUGAAUACAUAGUCAAACGAAGCGAACCGGGGGAACUGAAACAUCUCAGUACCCCGAGGAAAAGAAAUCAACCGAGAUUCCCCUAGUAGCGGCGAGCGAACGGGGAGCAGCCCAGAGUCUUAAUCAGCAUUAGCAUCAGGAGAACGGUCUGGAAAGUCCGGCAGUAAAGGGUGAUAGCCCCGUAUCCGAAGGUGUUAGUGUUGUGAACUCGACGAGUAGGGCGGGACACGUGUUAUCCUGUCUGAAUAUGGGGGGACCAUCCUCCAAGGCUAAAUACUCCUGAUUGACCGAUAGUGAACCAGUACCGUGAGGGAAAGGCGAAAAGAACCCCGGCGAGGGGAGUGAAAUAGAACCUGAAACCGUGUACGUACAAGCAGUGGGAGCCUUGAUUUAUCAGGGUGACUGCGUACCUUUUGUAUAAUGGGUCAGCGACUUAUAUUCUGUAGCAAGGUUAACCGUAUAGGGGAGCCGUAGGGAAACCGAGUCUUAACUGGGCGAAUGAGUUGCAGGGUAUAGACCCGAAACCCGGUGAUCUAGCCAUGGGCAGGUUGAAGGUUGGGUAACACUAACUGGAGGACCGAACCGACUAAUGUUGAAAAAUUAGCGGAUGACUUGUGGCUGGGGGUGAAAGGCCAAUCAAACCGGGAGAUAGCUGGUUCUCCCCGAAAGCUAUUUAGGUAGCGCCUCGUGAACUCAUCUUCGGGGGUAGAGCACUGUUUCGACUAGGGGGUCAUCCCGACUUACCAACUCGAUGCAAACUACGAAUACCGAAGAAUGUUAUCACGGGAGACACACGGCGGGUGCUAACGUUCGUCGUGAAGAGGGAAACAACCCAGACCGCCAGCUAAGGUCCCAAAGUCAUAGUUAAGUGGGAAACGAAGUGGGAAGGCUCAGACAGCCAGGAUGUUGGCUUAGAAGCAGCCAUCAUUUAAAGAAAGCGUAAUAGCUCACUGGUCGAGUCGGCCUGCGCGGAAGAUGUAACGGGGCUAAACUAUGCACCGAAGCUGCGGCAGCGAUAUGUAAAUAUUGUUGGGUAGGGGAGCGUUCUGUAAGCCUGUGAAGGUGUACUGUGAGGUAUGCUGGAGGUAUCAGAAGUGCGAAUGCUGACAUAAGUAACGAUAAUGCGGGUGAAAAACCCGCACGCCGGAAGACCAAGGGUUCCUGUCCAACGUUAAUCGGGGCAGGGUGAGUCGACCCCUAAGGCGAGGCAGAAAUGCGUAGUCGAUGGGAAACGGGUUAAUAUUCCCGUACUGGUGAUAAUUGCGAUGGGGGGACGGAGAAGGCUAGGCUAUCCGGGCGACGGUUGUCCCGGUUUAAGAAUGUAGGCAGGUGAAUUAGGCAAAUCCGGUUCACUACAUGCUGAGGUUCGAUGACGAGUCACUACGGUGAUGAAGUAGCUCAUGCCCCGCUUCCAGGAAAAGCCUCUAAGCUCUAGAUUAUCAUUAAUCGUACCCCAAACCGACACAGGUGGUCAGGUAGAGAAUACUCAGGCGCUUGAGAGAACUCGGGUGAAGGAACUAGGCAAAAUGGUGCCGUAACUUCGGGAGAAGGCACGCUGGCGCUAGGUGAAGUCCCUCGCGGAUGGAGCUGAAGCCAGUCGCAGAUACCAGCUGGCUGCAACUGUUUAUUAAAAACACAGCACUGUGCAAACACGAAAGUGGACGUAUACGGUGUGACGCCUGCCCGGUGCUGGAAGGUUAAUUGAUGGGGUUAUCCGUAAGGAGAAGCUCUUGAUCGAAGCCCCAGUAAACGGCGGCCGUAACUAUAACGGUCCUAAGGUAGCGAAAUUCCUUGUCGGGUAAGUUCCGACCUGCACGAAUGGCGUAAUGAUGGCCAGGCUGUCUCCACCCGAGACUCAGUGAAAUUGAACUCGCUGUGAAGAUGCAGUGUACCCGCGGCAAGACGGAAAGACCCCGUGAACCUUUACUAUAGCUUGACACUGAACAUUGAGCCUUGAUGUGUAGGAUAGGUGGGAGGCUUCGAAGCGUGGACGCCAGUCUGCGUGGAGCCAACCUUGAAAUACCACCCUUUAAUGUUUGAUGUUCUAACGUUGCCCCGUUAUCCGGGGUGCGGACAGUGUCUGGUGGGUAGUUUGACUGGGGCGGUCUCCUCCCAAAGAGUAACGGAGGAGCACGAAGGUUGGCUAAGCAUGGUCGGACAUCAUGCGGUUAGUGCAAAGGCAUAAGCCAGCUUGACUGCGAGAGUGACGGCUCGAGCAGGUACGAAAGUAGGUCUUAGUGAUCCGGUGGUUCUGAAUGGAAGGGCCAUCGCUCAACGGAUAAAAGGUACUCCGGGGAUAACAGGCUGAUACCGCCCAAGAGUUCAUAUCGACGGCGGUGUUUGGCACCUCGAUGUCGGCUCAUCACAUCCUGGGGCUGAAGUAGGUCCCAAGGGUACGGCUGUUCGCCGUUUAAAGUGGUACGCGAGCUGGGUUUAGAACGUCGUGAGACAGUUCGGUCCCUAUCUGCCGUGGGCGUUGGAAGAUUGAAAGGGGCUGCUCCUAGUACGAGAGGACCGGAGUGGACGCACCACUGGUGUUCGGGUUGUCAUGCCAAUGGCAUUGCCCGGUAGCUAAGUGCGGAAGAGAUAACCGCUGAAAGCAUCUAAGCGGGAAACUUGCCUUGAGAUGAGUCUUCCCUGACCCUUUAAGGGUCCUAAAGGAACGUUUAAGACUAAGACGUUGAUAGGUUGGGUGUGUAAGCGUAGCGAUACGUUGAGCUAACCAAUACUAAUGAACCGUGAGGCUUAACCUG